Pelobates cultripes (western spadefoot toad) is the source of this 238-nucleotide non-coding RNA. NCBI's taxonomy places the organism in Eukaryota, Metazoa, Chordata, Amphibia, Anura, Pelobatidae. The record is from the annotation of a GenBank genome assembly.
CUUCUCCAAUGCAAUGUGGUGAGAUUGGUCUCGUCACAUCUCUCCCCUUUUCCAAACAGACUAACAGGGUAUCUGACCUCCUGCCGGUCAGUGUCCUUGUUAGUCCAGCAGCCUCAACCCGUAGAGAAGAAGCUUGUCCAUGUCCAGGUGCCUCACCACGGCUGUGCUGGGUACGGGUACGCUGACUUGGUGGGUUGCUGCGUGGGCAGAGACCAGCGGCACUCUGCCCUGUUGCCAG